UACACACACACACACACAUAUACAUGUGUGCAAACAUACAUACAUACUCAUACACGCACACACACUUACAUAUACAUAUAUACACACACUUACACACAUAUAUACAUACACAUAUACAUACAUACAUACAUACAUAUAUGCAUACAUACACACACACAUAUAUAUAUACAUACAUACACAUACACAUACCUAUACAUAUAUAUACACACAUACAUAUACACAUGCACAUACUUAUAUCUCUACAUACUCGCAUAUAAAUAUAUAUAUAUAUAUAUAUAUAUAUAUAUAUAUAUAUAUGUAUACACACACAUACAAAUACCUAUAUACAUGUAUAUAUACACACACAUAUAUAUACACAUCUACAAUUUGUAUCUACACUCACAUACAUGCACAUACACAUAACUCUACAUACCUACAUAUACAUCGACAUACUCGCGUACACUCAUAUAUAUACACAUAUAUACAUAUACACACACACAUACAUAUACAUAUACAUAUAUAUAUAUAUAAAUAUAUACAUAAUACACAUAUACACACACAUACAUAUAUAUAUAUAUACACACACACACACACACACACAUACAUAUAUAUAUAUAUAUAUAUAUAUAUAUAUACAUACAUACACAUAUACAUACAUGUACAUAUAUAUAUACAUAUACAUAUAUAUACACACACAUACAUAUAUCAACAAUUGAGGGUAAAGUUAAUUAGUUAUUAAUCAAUUUCACCAAGUAUUCAGUAUGUAAAAGGACCAUUAUUUUUUUGAGUAAACAAUGUCUGAGGGAAAAUAUUCUCUAAGUAGUGGAAGAGGCUAAAAAACUUUUUUGGCUGCUAUUUCUAGAAAGUUCAGUAUGUGGCAAAGUCAUUUAUUUUACUAAGCCCUAAUUAUAUAAUAUUUUAUACAUACAUACACAUACAUACACACAUACAUAUACACAUACAUAUGCAUACACACAUAUAUACACAUAUACAUAUAUACAUAUAUACAUAUAUACACACACACACACACACACGCACAUACAUAUAUAUAUAUAUAUAUUUUUUUUUUACAUACAUACACACACACACACACAUAAUACAUGCGUAUAUUCCUACUAUACCCAUACAUUUCUAUACAUAUAUACAAUACACAUAUACAAGCGUGCACAUACAAUAUGUGAAAGGUCUUAGGAGAAAAGGUAAUCGGGGGUGCUAGGGGAACGGUGGGAUUGGGGGGUUUUGUGGGUGGGGUGUCAUCAAUCUGGUUGCCGGGUAGGCCUAUAGUUCUUGUAGUUCGCAUACUUCUUAUGCAUGCAAUUUGGGGAGUGUUCUGAGAUUUUGUUAAGGAGAGGGCCUUUGGCGAACAAGAUCUCUAGGCUCUCCGAUAUGCAGAGGUCACAGCAGGUAUGGCCUCCUGUGUACAAGCGCGCCUUCUGUAGUAGUUUCCACUUGGUCUUGAAGGGGAUGGAGUUCCUUUUAAGGUACCAGAUGUGGGCGGCGAGGGUAGUUUGGUUGGAUUUAUCCUGUCGCCGGAACGAGUGUGUGUGUGCGUACCAACGGGUCUUAAAGCUGUUUGACGUCAUUCCGAUGUAGGAUUUUCUUUUAUCGUCAGGGCCUGAUCUUACCUCGCAUGUAUAUACUAGGUCCCUCUGUAGGCAGUUGUUGUUGAGGGGGCAGGUGGUUUUAUCAGGGCAGUUGCAAUUGCUAUCGGACGUUGGAUGGGCCUCGGAAAAAGUAGAUAUGUUAAGUUUUUUCACAUUGUUGUUGGCUAGGUUCCUGGCUAGAUUGGGCGUGGUAGAGUAGGAGAGUCUAAUAGUGUUCUUAUUUAGGAUAGUGUAGUACUUAUGUUGGGUGGGGAAGUGUUUCUGUAGGAGAGUGAAGAAGAUUUUAGCUACAGGUGUAGCGACCUCACGGUUGAAGGUGGGGUUGUACCAGCUAAUGUGUCUUCGUCUAUUUUUCCUGGGUUGGCGUGGGGCUAUACUAGUAUAGGUAAUCUUAUCUUUAAAGCCACUGCGGGCCAGGGCCUCGUUGUAAUAGGGGGCUGCGGCCUUAAAGAUAUCUUCCGUGGCAGACAGUCUAGAAAUUCUAAUUGAGACACUUUUUACUAGGUUAUCUAAUAUAUUUUUGGGGUGGUUGGAAUUAAUAUCUAUAUAUCUAAGGGAUUCAUUCGGUUUGUGGUACGGGUAAUAAAGUGAGGUUUUUAAGUCGAGGGUGACAUCAAGGAAGUUAGCUUUUGUUAAGUUGGAUUCUAAGGUAAUCCUAAGGCCUAAGUUUUUAAAGAAGGUGUAAAGAUUUUUCCGGAACCCAUCCGUGGUCCUGGGGUUUAUUUUGUGGAGGGCGAAAAGGCCGUCAUCGCGGUAAAGACCACCGGAGAGGCCUGUGAAUAGGGUUUUCAGCCUAUGGAGGAUGAAAAGGCCCACUAGGUCACUUAUUUCAGCAGAGUCGUUAGCACCCAUGCUGACGUCGAAGGGGGUCACAGAUUUUUUGUUGAUCCAGUGGGAUCCGUCAUAGAAUAGAAAAGUCUUACGUGUGUGGAGGAUCACAUCUUGCUCGGCCUCGGUGAUGGUGGAGGACCUCCUGGCGAAGUUAAUCGCGUCGAUCAGCAAGCUCUCCGAUAUGGAGGCGUAGUAAUCCUCGAUAUCCAGUUGUAGGAAUCGGGUGUUGCUUUUGUCAGGUAAAUCCCGGAACCAGGUUAUUGCCUCGGAGGUCCUAUUCCAGAGUGGAAGGGGUGAAGCUUCACGCAUUUUUGGUAAAAUCCUGUCCAGGAUCUUCUUGCUGACGGAUCCGAUGUCAGACUUGGUUGGGUUAAUCAAACGGACCGACGGUUUAUUUUCGAAAUGGUCUUUGUGGUCUUUCAGGGUGAAGUGUGGGGACUUCACCCUCAGGGUUUCGGUUCGGUCAUCGAUUUUAAGGGAGGUGGCAAUCUCUUUCCCGGCUAAGUUGGUUUCACUUAGCGCUGCGUCGUCUACUUUCUUGUACUUAGCUGUGAUGGCGUUAUCGGCUAGUCUGUUGUAGGUAUCCGGAGUCACCGCAUAAAUAUUUUUUGUCUUGUCCAAAGGGACAUGGAGGUUCUGGGAGCUUUUCAUUUUCGAAAGCUUCUCGUUCAGUUCCGUUUGGAAAGGUAGGUUGACUCUCCUGAAUUUGAUGUUUUUUAUCAUGAGGAAGAGGUCUUCUUCAAACGGUUCAAGUAGGCUAUUGGUAGGAGGGGCCUUAUUUGAUUUGAAGCCGUACUUAUCAUUAUUGGUAGAUGCUACAUCAGGAUGGUCGAAGAAGAACAAUCUCCAUCGAAUUCUUUUGAUGAACUCAUCAGUCCGUCUAAUGAGGGCUUUUUGGUACUGUUUCCUUGGUGGGAUAGUAAUGUUCUUCAGGGAAGCGUCGAGGUCGAUUCUUGUCAGCAUUUUUUCUUGGUGAUGGUUAUAAGGGCACUAGGGUGUGCUAGGAUAUGUAGGUCCCGGGUUGAUUCGGGGUUAACCACAGUAAAUAAGGUACUCAAUACAUAGCAGAGUAAAAUUAAUUUAUUAUAUAGAAGGAGCUUCUACAGGACUAGAACUGUUUCAUUCAAGAGAAAUCUUCAGGAAGCUAGUUAACAAGAAUUGUAUUGGCAUUUAUACAUUUAGGCAGGUUUAAAGGGGUGUUGGUGGGGGACUUUUUGGGGGUAGGCAUAGCGCAAAAUAUCAUACUUGGGGGAGUGGUCAAGGAGUCAGUGUUAAAUUUGAUAGAAGAAUAAAUAAAAAAAUAAAAAAAUAUAUAUAUAAAAAAAAGGGAAUAGAGUUUUAGGUAAAUAAGGAGAUUCUCACUUAUACCUAUGCACAUAUGUAUACAUAUAUACACACACAUACAAACAUAUAUACAUAUACAUACACACAUACAUACACACACACAUAUAUACAUAUAUAUACACUUACACAUACAUAUACAUAUCUACACAUACACAUAUAUGUAUACAUACACACACUCACAUGCAUACACGUAUACACACAUGUAUAUAUACACACACGACCACACAUACAUAUACACACAGAAAAAUAUAUACACAUACACACACAUACUCACAUACACGCAUACACACACAUAUCCACACACACACAUGCACACACAGCACACUAGUCCCUAUAUACACAUAUAUACACAUACACACAUAUAUACACACACAUACAUAUACAUACAUAUAUAUAUAUAUAUAUAUACAUAUGUGUACCUAUGCAUACCUACACAUACACACAUAUAUAUACACAUACAAAUACAGACCCAUUCCCUAAUUUUAAUUUUAUUAUCUUCAUUUAUUACUUUUGUUAUCUUUGACCGCUGGUCACAAACAUCUUGGCUAUGACAGCCAGUCCAUUUAUCUGUCUACUGGAAAACAAGCACUCAUUCACUCACGCACACUCUUUAGCACGUACACUCACUCAUUCGUACACUCAUACACAUACACGCACGCACGCGUUAUAUUCAUACAUACAUACAUCUACAUACAUUCACGUAUAUACACAUACGUACGCGUACCUACAGAUUCAUGUCUACACUCUUAGAAGGCUAGUCUAUACAUAUACACCAAUAAAUAUAAAUACACACACAUACAUAUACACCUACAUACAAAU
Molecule: long non-coding RNA, 4577 nt
Filed under: Octopus vulgaris (common octopus)
Lineage: Eukaryota; Metazoa; Mollusca; Cephalopoda; Octopoda; Octopodidae
Source: RNAcentral